This 346-nucleotide unclassified non-coding RNA is filed under the name soil metagenome. RNAcentral's name for it is "partial contains 5.8S ribosomal RNA, internal transcribed spacer 2, and large subunit ribosomal RNA". The stretch from base 1 to 119 matches the Rfam family "5.8S ribosomal RNA", at positions 35 to 154 of the family's 154-position model. The record is from RNAcentral.
GAUGAAGAACGUAGCGAAAUGCGAUACGUAAUGUGAAUUGCAAAUUCAGUGAAUCAUCGAGUCUUUGAACGCACAUUGCGCCCCCUGGUAUUCCGGGGGGCAUGCCUGUCCGAGCGUCAUUGCUGCCCUCAAGCACGGCUUGUGUGUUGGGCCCCGUCCUCCGAUCCCGGGGGACGGGCCCGAAAGGCCGCGGCGGCACCGCGUCCGGUCCUCGAGCGUAUGGGGCUUUGUCACCCGCUCUGUAGGCCCGGCCGGCGCUUGCCGAUCAACCCAAAUUUUUUAUCCAGGUUGACCUCGGAUCAGGUAGGGAUACCCGCUGAACUUAAGCAUAUCAAUAAGCGGAGGA